ACCUCGCCAGUAUAUCUUCUUACGCCAAACCGCUCGAAAUUUAGCCCUCAUCGGUCAUCGUUCAGAAAAAUCAAAAGCGCAAAGAUGCUGAAGAAAUUCCCCUCAAGCUGCUGCUAUUGUGUAUUCGCGCGACCCUAGCCAACAUCCAAACCGAGCUGCGCGAGAAAUUGGUUUAAGUUCGUGAAAGAUAAAUCUGUCAAACUAAAGCAAGCAACUGAAACAGAUCAUCGCGUUGAACUCAGUGCUAGCAAGAAAG
Molecule: long non-coding RNA, 256 nt
Organism: Ipomoea nil (Japanese morning glory)
Lineage: Eukaryota; Viridiplantae; Streptophyta; Magnoliopsida; Solanales; Convolvulaceae
Exons: 4
Source: RefSeq, a predicted model, not a curated record